AAGGACUAUAUAUACUAAAAUCAUCAUCUUCAGUUUUGAAAGACUUAAGUAGAAAAUAAGUUUUUCUUUUAAGCGCCAAAGGGCCUAUAGCUCAGUUGGUUAGAGCACACGCCUGAUAAGCGUGAGGUCGGUGGUUCAAGUCCAUUUAGGCCCACCAAAAAAAGGUCCUGCUUAAAAAGUUCUUUGAAAA
RNAcentral lists this unclassified non-coding RNA (190 nucleotides) under Candidatus Phytoplasma trifolii. RNAcentral's name for it is "16S-23S ribosomal RNA intergenic spacer". The stretch from base 81 to 154 matches the Rfam family "tRNA". The record is from RNAcentral. Lineage: Bacteria; Bacillati; Mycoplasmatota; Mollicutes; Acholeplasmatales; Acholeplasmataceae. RNAcentral also lists the same sequence under 1 other name.